Molecule: long non-coding RNA, 1541 nt
Filed under: Oncorhynchus kisutch (coho salmon)
Lineage: Eukaryota; Metazoa; Chordata; Actinopteri; Salmoniformes; Salmonidae
Description: lncRNA (ENSOKIG00005043340.1)
Source: RNAcentral
CUCUCUCUCUGCCUCUAUUUCCCUCCCUCUUUCUCUCUCUCUGCCUCUAUAUUUCCAUCUGUCUUUUUCUCUCUUCCUCUACAUUUCCCUCCCUCUUUCUCUCUCUGCCUCUACAUUUCCCUCCCUCUUUCUGUCUUUGUCUCUAUAUUUCCCUCCCUCUUUCUGUCUCUCUGCCUCUAUAUUUCCUUCCCUCUUUCUGUCUCUCUGCCUCUAUAUUUCCCUCCCUCUUUCUCUCUCUGCCUCUAUAUUUCCCUCCCUCUUUCUGUCUCUCUGCCUCUAUAUUUCCAUCUGUCUUUCUCUCUCUUCCUCUACUUUUCCCUCCCUCUUUCUCUCUCUGCCUCUAUAUUUCCCUCCCUCUUUCUGUCUCUCUGCCUCUAUAUUUCCCUCCCUCUUUCUCUCUCUGACUUUAUAUUUCUCUCUCUUUCUGUCCCUCUGCCUCUUUAUUUCACAGUCUUUCUCUCUGUCCUUUCCACUAUUCUACUUCCUGUCUCUCUUGUCCUCUCCGUUUACCUCUUCUCUUCUUUCUCUCCUUUCCACUAUUCUACUUCCUGUCUCUCUUGUCCUCUCCGUCUACCUCUUCUCUUCUUUCUCUCCUUUCCACUAUUCUGCUUCCUGUCUCUCUUGUCCUCUCAGUCUACCUCUUCUCUUCUUUCUCUCCUUUCCACUAUUCUACUUCCUAUCUCUCUUCUCCUCUCCGUCUACCUCUUUUCUUCUCUCUGUCCUUUCCACUAUUCUACUUCCUAUCUCUCUUGUCCUCUCCGUCUACCUCUUCUCUUCUCUCUGUCCUUUCCACUAUUCUACUUCCUAUCUCUCUUGUCCUCUCUGUCUACCUCUCCUCUUCGCUCUGUCCUUUCCACUAUUCUGCUUCCUAUCUCUCUUGUCCUCUCUGUCUACCUCUCCUCUUCGCUCUGUCCUUUCCACUAUUCUGCUUCCUAUCUCUCUUGUCCUCUCUGACUACCUCUCCUCUUCUCUCUGUCCUUUCCACUAUUCUACUUCCUAUCUCUCUUGUCCUCUCUGUCUACCUCUCCUCUUCUCUCUGUCCUUUCCACUAUUCUACUUUCUUCCAACUCAUUAGAUCUUUCUUAUUUUCCUCUCUUAUCCCUCCAUCUCCCUUGCGACUGAAAUAAACCCUCAAUAAAAGAUGAGGAAGGCUCAUCUGCCUCGCUGGCGGUGGUAUUCCUACAGGAUUCAAUCAUCACCUCGCUAAUGAGAUUAGCAUGGCUCAUUCAUGGCUAAUGCUUACUGAGCCAGGAUCGUCACUCAUCUUCCCACAGUAGCUCAGCACAGAGGGGAGAGGAACUGAGGGCUGCCCAGGUCGGGGUACCCAAUGUCGGCUUGCCAAUCCAGGAAAGCCUCCUGCCUGGACCUCCAUGGGAAGGGAAGUGAGAGUUACCUAGCUUGAGGUUCCUGAAAACCUCCUGUUUCAAUCUGGUCAUCAUACUAAGAAUGGAAUAGCAGGAGUCAAAGGGGGAGUGAAGAACCCUAUGGGGGGAGCGAGAGAGAGAGAGAGAGAGAGAGAGGAGAGACAGAGACAGAGGAGA